Molecule: RNA transcript, 2745 nt
Organism: Ceratosolen solmsi marchali
Lineage: Eukaryota; Metazoa; Arthropoda; Insecta; Hymenoptera; Agaonidae
Gene name: G protein-activated inward rectifier potassium channel 3
Exons: 11
Source: RefSeq, a predicted model, not a curated record
CAAAUUAUGACAAGUUUUAAAAUUCGGAUUCCUGGGAUAUUUACAUACGAUAGACUCAUCAAUCCAAAAAACACAAUAGAUCGUCAAAGACUUUUUAAAUAGCUAUAUUGUAUAAAAAAUAAUUUUUGUCUCAAUCAUCCCUUUAAUUUACUUGCAAAUACAUUUAGUAUACUAUACAUUUAGUAGAUGAAUCGUCAAUUGGAAAAUAUUGUUCAAAAAUCAAACUCCGUGCUCGAUAUCAUAGCCUUAGCAAAGACAGUUACCACAAUGUAACUGCUUAAGGGUUGUUGCUCGUUUCCUCAGUGCUCAGCGAUCGGCCCCUCGAAAAGGUGGCCGAGGAUGCAGGUCCGAUCUAAGGGCCUGAUCGUGGGAGGAUGCGUCCGCCCGGGGUCUCAGACGUUCGGCUCCAUCGCUCGUCCUCAAGUGCGAACGAUUCUUCGACCGGGCAACUGGAGCGGGUCUCGAGCUCGGGCACGACGCCUUGGACUCCGGAAGAGGAGACGCUGGCACCGGCCUCGCGGCUCCGCAAUCCCUCGGGUAUAUUCGGUUAUCGGCGCAACUCGAGCAGGAUCAGCUUCAGGGCCGAGUCCGGGCCCCUACUGAACAGAUACAGGCAAACGAGGUUUAGCUCGAGGAGAGUAAGAAAGCGAGUUGUUUUCAAACACGGCGACUGCAAUGUCGUGCAAGGCAACGUCGCUAAGCGUCGGCGCCGUUAUCUACAGGAUAUCUUCACAACUCUGGUCGACGCCCAAUGGCGUUGGACGCUCUUAGUGUUUGCCAUGACAUUCCUAUUAUCUUGGCUGGGCUUUGCCCUCGUUUGGUGGCUGGUCGUUUACGCACACGGAGACCUCGAUCCAAAGAUCACAGACCCCAGCUCCAAUAUAUCUUUUACUCCUUGUGUCGAAGAUAUUCACGGGUUCACCAGCUGCUUCCUCUUUUCAGUCGAGACGCAGCACACCAUAGGAUACGGCUCAAAGCAUACAACGGAGGAGUGUCCAGAGGCGAUAUUCAUAAUGUGCAUCCAGUCGAUGACUGGAGUAAUUCUACAAGCAUUUAUGGUGGGCAUCGUAUUCGCCAAGCUCUCGCGUCCAAAGAAGCGCACGCAGACCCUCCUUUUCUCGAGGAACGCCGUCAUUUGCCAGAGGGAUGGCCAGCCCUGCCUCAUGUUCCGUGUCGGCGAUAUGCGCAAGAGCCACAUAAUCGAGGCCCACGUCAGGGCACAAAUGAUCAAGAGAAAAGUAACUAGAGAAGGUGAGCUUCUGCCUUUCUUCCAAACGGAACUGAAAGUCGGUGGUGAUGGGGAAGAGGAUAAAAUUUUCUUCAUCUGGCCGACGACGAUCGUUCACAAAAUCAACCAACAGUCGCCUCUCUAUCAUCUUUCUGCGAGCGACAUGUUACGAGAGCGCUUCGAAAUUAUUGUUCUCCUCGAAGGUGUGAUAGAAUCGACGGGUAUGACGACGCAAGCCAGAAGUUCAUAUUUACCUUCGGAAAUUCUCUGGGGCCACCGAUUCGAGCACAUAAUCACGUUUCGCAAAGAGAUCGGAGAAUAUGAAGUUAAUUACACACUUUUUAAUAAUACAUACGAGGUGGAUACGCCUUUAUGUUCGGCCGCAGAGCUCGAUCACGUUAAAGCAUUGCACCGCGCCAAAGGAGAGCGAACAAGCUCGGGCACGUUUGCCCAGUACAGGAUGGAUUCUAGCAGUUCCUUGACUUCGGGCUCUUGCUCGAGUUUCGCUUCGUCAGCCGGUGGUUUACAAAUGCAUACUCACGCUGCAACGCCACCGACUCCCAUCCCAGUCAUGAUUACCGCUCCGGAUGACUCACCCAGAAGGGGAAGCACCAGUCAACCUGAAUCUCGACGUAAAUUCGCUACUUUUUACACUCUCGACGAGACUUUGGAGACAGGGCAGGAAUUGAUUCCGCCAGAAUGUCCAAUCGAAGCAAUGCAGGAAGUACCAAAUACUAAAGAGAAGGAGGAGGAAGAGGAACAGAACGAGACACUGCAGAACAAUGCGAUGACAAAUCAUCCUGAUGAAAAUGCAGUCGUAUAUGAUAAGACAUUUGAAGGCAUUAAUGCCAAUUUACGAUUCAGUCGGCGCUCUAGUUUACAGGGAAAACCGGCUAGGAGGAUAUCGCGCGAAGGCACGCGAGUUAGCAUCGAGGACAUAAUUCCCCGUAAUACCAAUACGAGCAAUGCCCAAAGCUUCAUCGGCUUAAUGAAAAAGUCACCAUCACAUACGGCUCUUGAAUUAAGGCAAACGGGCCAGAUGGCUUGCUUUGGCCCAUCGACGAGGCGGUCAAGUUUAAAUGAAAACCGUAAAAGCAAGAAUGAGUUGCCAAAGAAAGCGAGCUUCCAAUUGACAGGGUCUAAAGAGUUGCAAGAGCCCCACAAAACCAAUUGUGAUCGGCCCAAAGAGCAAGUUUAGUGCGCUUUCCCCACCGUUACCCUCGAUACUGCAGGACCGAAAGGGCCCCUAAAGUGAGAGGCGCUCAGGUGCGUUCCCCCGUUUUCGCAAGCGCCCCACUGCCUCGAAGUUCUCCAGCAUGGCGAGCCAUAAUAUACGCGCCGGCAAUAGUCGUUCGCGACGCGUCGAGGUGACGACUGUCCUUUAGAGUUGUGAUCGCGAUCAAGACGAGGAACUCUGGCGACUGCGUCAUUGACAACAAGACAGGUAGGGAGGAGCAGGGUGGUUGCAGUGACCGGAAGUAACAUGUCGAACUGAUAAGCAGACGACAAUGGCCGAG